CACACACACACACACACAGGAAGCAGAUGACGUCAGUAGCUCAGCGUAUGAAUGCUAAUGGAGAGGCUCGUAAACGUGGUAGUGGUAUGACCCGAACCUUCUCCCCCCUUACUCCUAUCAUACAGCGCCUCUACAACAAGUCAGAUGAGGUGAGAGACACUGUACAUGUGUGUAGCUUGUGUGCAAUACAAUAGAGUUACGUACGCACUGUAUCAUACCUGUUUGGUAGUGGCCAUGCACCGGGCAGAGGUUUUGGGGCCCAUUACCCUGGCUGUAUUAUUGAGGGACACAUGCUCUGGAGACUUUGGGGCCCAUUAACCUGGCUGUAUUAUAGAGGGUGGCCUGCUAACACAGGUACAAACACAUGCUAUGGAAGCUUGCCUGGCUGUAUUAUUAGAGGGACACAUGCUAUGGAGGUUUUGGGGCCCAUUAACCUGGCUGUAUUAUAGAGGCUGCAUGUACUUGUAGGGUAUAGACAGGUUUCAAUGUAUCAAACAGUAUAGACUUUAGUAGCCACCUACAUUGUUUGAUUGAUGUUGAUUUCUGUUCCCAGGCUGAUAGCAAGAGUGAGAGGUCCUCCAGGAGCCAGAGACACACAGAAGACGCUAGGAGAUCGGCUCCAAAAGUCAAGUUCUCUAAAACUAUUACCGAGUUUCCAGACUACAGUCGCUAUGACAACCCGACAGAGAUCAAAUCAGUAUCAAGCCCAGGUCAAAGUCCGUCCCAUUGUCACCAUGGUAAAUUGGAUGGGGACUCGCUGAGGGUCAAAGGUGAACGCUCGGAACACAUCAGAAAAAAAUUAAUUAUUAUUAGCAUAGCACAAAUUGUUCAUUAUUUUUAUUGCUUAUACUCAAGAUUUGUAUGUUACUAAUGAUAGUGUCAUUUGCCAUA
Halichondria panicea is the source of this 891-nucleotide long non-coding RNA. RefSeq lists it as uncharacterized. The record is from RefSeq and is a predicted model, not a curated record. The transcript is spliced from 2 exons. Lineage: Eukaryota; Metazoa; Porifera; Demospongiae; Suberitida; Halichondriidae.